RNAcentral lists this ribosomal RNA (385 nucleotides) under uncultured bacterium. Its description in RNAcentral is "bacterial SSU rRNA". It matches the Rfam family "Bacterial small subunit ribosomal RNA", at positions 370 to 772 of the family's 1533-position model. The record is from RNAcentral.
AAUGGGGGCAACCCUGAUGCAGCGACGCCGCGUGAGUGAUGAAGCCCUUCGGGGUGUAAAGCUCUUUCGACAGGAACGAUAAUGACGGUACCUGGAGAAGAAGCUGCGGCUAACUACGUGCCAGCAGCCGCGGUAAUACGUAGGCAGCAAACGUUGUUCGGAAUUACUGGGCGUAAAGAGUGUGUAGGCGGUUUUGUAAGUUUGGUGUGAAAUCUCCCGGCUUAACUGGGAGGGUGCGCCGAAAACUGCAAGGCUUGAGUGCUGGAGAGGAGAGCGGAAUUCCUGGUGUAGCGGUGAAAUGCGUAGAUAUCAGGAGGAACACCGGCGGUGUAGACGGCUCUCUGGACAGUAACUGACGCUGAGACACGAAAGCGUGGGGAGCAAA